CACUAGAGGCUGGAUUAACCAGAUUAUAAACAUAGUUUCUUUGAAACUGCUAUGUUUAUAAAAAAGGGUUAAUCCUAGAUGGACCUGACACCCAGACCACCUCAUUAAGCUGAAGUGGUCUGGGUGCCUAGAGUGAUCCUUUAAAAAACAUUCCAGUUUUAGACUGUUAUUUUCCCUGUUUAAAUCUGUCUAGUUUGCAAUUAGCCAGAAAAAGGGGUGUUACACUGCAGAAAGUCACAUCGCUAUAAAAGGUUUAAAUGCAGC
Pelobates cultripes (western spadefoot toad) is the source of this 264-nucleotide non-coding RNA. The record is from the annotation of a GenBank genome assembly. NCBI's taxonomy places the organism in Eukaryota, Metazoa, Chordata, Amphibia, Anura, Pelobatidae.